This 497-nucleotide ribosomal RNA is filed under the name uncultured bacterium. Its description in RNAcentral is "partial 16S ribosomal RNA". It matches the Rfam family "Bacterial small subunit ribosomal RNA", at positions 28 to 507 of the family's 1533-position model. The record is from RNAcentral.
GAUGAACGCUGGCGGCGUGCCUAAUACAUGCAAGUCGAGCGAACAGACGAGGAGCUUGCUCCUCUGACGUUAGCGGCGGACGGGUGAGUAACACGUGGAUAACCUACCUAUAAGACUGGGAUAACUUCGGGAAACCGGAGCUAAUACCGGAUAAUAUAUUGAACCGCAUGGUUCAAUAGUGAAAGACGGUUUUGCUGUCACUUAUAGAUGGAUCCGCGCCGCAUUAGCUAGUUGGUAAGGUAACGGCUUACCAAGGCAACGAUGCGUAGCCGACCUGAGAGGAUGAUCGGCCACACUGGAACUGAGACACGGUCCAGACUCCUACGGGAGGCAGCAGUAGGGAAUCUUCCGCAAUGGGCGAAAGCUUGACGGAGCAACGCCGCGUGAGUGAUGAAGGUCUUCGGAUCGUAAAACUCUGUUACUAGGGAAGAACAAAUGUGUAAGUAACUAUGCACGUCUUGACGGUACCCAAUCAGAAAGCCACGGCUAACUACGUG